RNAcentral lists this long non-coding RNA (1224 nucleotides) under Homo sapiens (human). Its description in RNAcentral is "HSALNT0331306". Lineage: Eukaryota; Metazoa; Chordata; Mammalia; Primates; Hominidae. The record is from RNAcentral.
UGGGUGGGGCUGGAUGAAUGUUUGGGCACAGGCAGCAGCUGUCACAUGGCCUGGCUGUGGGUUUGGGACGGAAACCAGGUAGGUGUGCCGUAUCAGGCACAGCUACAAACUGUGCCAAGGAAACAGUCAGAGCAGGGGCCCGGGGAAACUUCUGCCUUGGCAGAAGAUUAGGAACCCUCCCUUAUUAUCUCACUGAAGGAGAAUGCUGGAUGGUGCUACAAAGAAGGCAAUCUAAGGACUCCAGAACUGAAGUGGCACUGCAUGUCACUUCCCUAACUCAACUGAAAAAGCAGACAAAAACCUAGCGUUUUCUACCCUCAAGCCAGCAAGAAACACAGUCCAGAUCUGAGAGUCCCUGAGAACCCAGAGACAACACAGAGGCAGCAGGACAUGAACAGGAGAGUCCCGGCAUCAGUUCCUGGCCAUAGAAUCCCUCCUGAGCAGCAGGCAGGACAGAACCCCUUUCAGCAAUCAGCCUGCCGGAGAAGCCUCUGCCCCUGUGGUGUGAGGAUCCACUUCCCCCAGGUGACACCAUGGGCAGGUGGGCUGAAGAAGUGGGAAGGCCAAAUCGACUGGCCCAGGAGGAUGCCUCUUUGAUGAUACAGGUGACACAGGUCUAAGCCUCCCUUCUUCCACAGGAGAAACUAGGUGGCCCAGAGGCUGCCCAGAGGUAGGGGAUCUGCCACAGCAGCCACCCUCCUGGGAGGUUCCCUUUCUUCUCCUUGAUGAACUCCCUCCAACACACACCUUCCCAGGAAAGCACCCUUUAUCUUGCAUGGGAAGGGGAUCCCACCACACCAAAACCCAGCCAAAGAAGCCUUUUGUUCCUUAAGGGAUAAGUUAUCAAAACAAACACAAGCAAAAAGACACACAACUAGUCACCCCCUAAAUUCUGUUAAGAAUGAGACAAUGCUGCCACUCACUCCUGGCUCAGGCACCAGCAGGAGGAGGACACCCUCCAGAAACUGCAGAAGAAAGGGGAGGACUCCUCCUUGCCCUGGCUGCACCUCCACCACUGUCACUGAGGCCUGCAGUACAGAACCAGCAGCUUCCUACACACCCCAGGCCAGGCCAGGCCCCAAAGCUCUCCUACUCCCCCUUCCCGGCCCCCAGACUUGCUGCUGUUACCACUAUUACCGCCGAUGCCAACACAACCAGUGCUUCUGUCACCUUCCAUGCACCCACCCACCCUCCAGGGCUCCUUCCACCUGGCCUCCACGGGCA